GGAGAUAUAGCUCAGUUGGUAGAGUGCCUGCCUUGUAUGCACAAGGUCCUGGGUUCAAUCCUCAGCACCA
Molecule: transfer RNA, 70 nt
Filed under: Ictidomys tridecemlineatus (thirteen-lined ground squirrel)
Lineage: Eukaryota; Metazoa; Chordata; Mammalia; Rodentia; Sciuridae
Description: Spermophilus tridecemlineatus (thirteen-lined ground squirrel) tRNA
Rfam family: tRNA
About the family: Transfer RNA (tRNA) molecules are approximately 80 nucleotides in length. Their secondary structure includes four short double-helical elements and three loops (D, anti-codon, and T loops). Further hydrogen bonds mediate the characteristic L-shaped molecular structure. tRNAs have two regions of fundamental functional importance: the anti-codon, which is responsible for specific mRNA codon recognition, and the 3' end, to which the tRNAs corresponding amino acid is attached (by aminoacyl-tRNA synthetases). tRNAs cope with the degeneracy of the genetic code in two manners: having more than one tRNA (with a specific anti-codon) for a particular amino acid; and 'wobble' base-pairing, i.e. permitting non-standard base-pairing at the 3rd anti-codon position.
Source: Rfam by way of RNAcentral